AUUGAACGCUGGCGGCAGGCCUAACACAUGCAAGUCGAGCGGUAGAGAGGUGCUUGCAUCUCUUGAGAGCGGCGGACGGGUGAGUAAUGCCUAGGAAUCUGCCUAGUGGUGGGGGAUAACGUUCGGAAACGGACGCUAAUACCGCAUACGUCCUACGGGAGAAAGCGGGGGAUCUUCGGACCUCGCGCCAUUAGAUGAGCCUAGGUCGGAUUAGCUAGUUGGUGAGGUAAUGGCUCACCAAGGCGACGAUCCGUAACUGGUCUGAGAGGAUGAUCAGCCACACUGGGACUGAGACACGGCCCAGACUCCUACGGGAGGCAGCAGUGGGAAUAUUGGACAAUGGGCGAAAGCCUGAUCCAGCAAUGCCGCGUGAGUGAUGAAGG
This 383-nucleotide ribosomal RNA is filed under the name uncultured bacterium. Its description in RNAcentral is "bacterial SSU rRNA". It matches the Rfam family "Bacterial small subunit ribosomal RNA", at positions 30 to 414 of the family's 1533-position model. The record is from RNAcentral.